This is a long non-coding RNA of Anguilla anguilla (European eel), 1091 nucleotides long. RefSeq lists it as uncharacterized. The transcript is spliced from 4 exons. Lineage: Eukaryota; Metazoa; Chordata; Actinopteri; Anguilliformes; Anguillidae. The record is from RefSeq and is a predicted model, not a curated record.
UCCCUUGAGGCCGUCUAUGCAAAAGAAUACGCUCAAGGAAGCUCGCUCCGCUCCGGCUCGCUGGACUCGAUUCAAACUUCAGUUUUCUGGAAUAUAUUUUUGUUGACAGUUUAGGUGGGAAAAGAGAAAGUUAAUCAACGAUACGUCAUAUUGUGCAGUUUUGAUGCGGAACCAAAACCAAGUACCGCCCAGCGUCUCCCCGCCUACAUUAUUUGCAUAGUAGGCUACAGCCCAUUGAAGAGCCAUCUCGAUUCAAGUCAUUCCGCGAGAACCGGCUACGGCAACCCAGCACCGCGCAGACUGUCCGCGACGAGUGGCAAAUUCGAUAACAACACCCCGUUAGAUAUUCUCAGGACACGAAGCCCAGCUCACGGAGUCAUUGUCAGAACAGAUCAUUCAGAAAACAUACACACCAACGCUAAACUGCACACUAUGAUAGGGCCGUUCCUUGUCUAUACUGUGCUCCUGUUGUUAGGCUCUGUGGAAGCCGGUAUUUCAUCGUACGGUAUACCCUUAGGAGAUACCACAAAAACUGGGACCUAACCCAUUUAAAAUCUGUCCACUUACAUGUGUGUGACCUGAACCUAAUUCCAAAUGGGCCUACUGGAUUAGACAGUUCAUCAGCACAGGAAGAGGACCAUCAAAUAGCGUACAGUUUUCCCCAACAACAGCAACACAGAGGGCAUGUGGAACCGCAGAACCGUCAGCCAGCAAUGUUGGCCCUACGUCAUCACAAUCACCAAGAACCACUGGGAAUUUUCAAAUUCCAUGGGACAGAUUUCCUCCAGAACUUACAAAAGCCAUCUCGGAGAAAACGCGCCCACGUCCAGCAUUAACCCUUUAACUGUCACUCAUUGAAAUAGGUGAUGAAAAAAUUAUUUAACCAUAAAUACCUAUUACUUGAGCACCAAAUAACAAUGUCUAACCGUUUUUUUCAUAACUUGACCCCUGUUUUUAGAAAUUAUAGGCCUCUACCGUACGGUUGAGAUGUCAGUUUAUUGUAAAAGAUGCUAUUCACAAAUUGCUAUAUUUCUGAACAUUUUUCCUGAAACACAAUCACUUUAAUCUCUCUUUAAAACCUUAAAACAGUU